ACUCCUAAUUUAUCCCUUCCUUCCUCUUUUCCCCUUUUUUAGCCACACACUUGUUUUCUAUGUCUGUGUUUUGUAAAUAGGUUCAUUGGUAUCUUUUUUUUUUUUUAGAUUCUGCAUAGAGGUAAUAUGCGACAUUUGUCUGUGUGGCUUCACUUAGUAUAUAAUCUCUAGGUCCAUCCAUUGCUGCUAAUGGCACUAUUUCGUUCUUUUUUAUGGCUGAGUAAUAUUCCAUUGUAUGUAUAUCCCCUUAUCUUCUUUAUCCACUCAUCUAUCAAUGGCCACUUCAGUUGCUUCCAUGUCCCGUCUCUUGGAAAUAGUGCUGCUGUGAGUGUGAACUUUGUUUCUUCAUUCACCAGGGGAUGAAUUGGCUUGAUUUGGCAACUUAGAGUCAAGGCGCUGCAAACAUGUGCAUUUAGGUCUUCGUGGGAAUAAAUGUUUCACUUCUCCUGUGUAAAUACCUAGGAAGAGGCGUUCUGGUGUAUUUGAUGAGCGUAUGUUUAGUUUUCAGAGAAACUGAUACACUGUCUUCCAAAGUGACCAUAACAUUUGCGUUCGCAUCCUGCAGUGUUUGAGAAUUUCAGGAGCACCUCAUUCUUGCCAGUGCUAGGUACUGUCGCUUUACAAAAAUUUUAACCAUUUUUGCUAUCUCUCUAAAAGUUAGUUUUGUUAAUAACGUUUUCCGAUGUAGAGCACUUAACCUUCAAAAGCGAACUGUCUUUCUCUGAGGAGUGAACAGUUUGCAUUAAGAUCAUGAACAAAAGUAAUUGAGUCUUUUCUCAUUAUUGACGUGCCUGUGGUCUGCAAAGCUACCACGGAAUUCACCGAAUAAUGAAUACGGAACCAUUGCCCCAGGGGAAAUACCAGUUUUCUCAGCUGAUCAAUAUGUAGGCUCAUCUUCAGUGUGUUUGUUUGAAGACAUGUCAUUUAUUUUGUCGAUUCGCCUGAACAAAGCUAGUCUAACACAUGCGUUUUCUCCAUAAGGCGCAUCACAGCCCAGCCUCAGGGGGUGGGGAGGACAUUCCAAAGGGGCACAAUCGCCAACAAAAAAGCACGAAAAUGUGGAAAGCGAGUCACUAGAUGGACCAGGAUGCAGAUGCUUGUUUACGGGGUGAGAGCUGAAACAAGAAGGCGGAAGACCGUCUCCUUGCACCUCAGCUGGGACACGCACGUCGGAUGCCUCAAAUGGUUCACUCUGUGCCUGUCCAGGACUGACCGGAGAUGUGCCCCGAGUGUUGUUUUUGGGGGGUUAUGAGUAAAUUUUAGCACGUGGGCAGAUUCCACUAUAUUUUUAUUCCCUUUGAAAGGGCUUAAACUGAGUUCCCUUUAAAUGGUGAUUCGUAGGAACUUGAUGCAGAGCGAAACAUAAUUAUUUAAUAAUUUAAUCAGUGCAUCACUUAGAAAAUUAACCGGCCCAACCAGGACCCCUCCGCACUGAAGGCUGUUUUACAGACACCUCAAGACCUGCCACAGAUUUCACCCCCAUCGCGGAGGGCGUCCUCUUGAUUUAUGUCAGAAGGCUUGAUGGACCAUUCAGACAUACCGAGCACACACUUCAUUCCUGGAAAGUAAUAUAAAAUGUUCACUCUGAAUUUGAUCACAGUAAUAGCGACAGGGUAUGUGUUUAAAUUCACGGAGACAGAUUAAUGCACUUACCAAAAACCCCCAUUGCCGAAAAGUAAUUAUAAGUUUUCUAGAUUGACUGCCAAUAUGAUAGGGCCCCCAAGAAAUGGCCCGUCUUGACGAGACAGAACAAUAAAUUGGUUUUCCUGAAUACGGUGGGUAAAGAAUCCAAGUUCCUGACCCUGAAUAUUUCACUGGUCGUGUUCUAUGCAGUAGGGAACAAUCAGGAUGACAUUUGCUGAAAUGUCUGAGAUUUAUAACAUAAUAGCUUGAGCAUAUGUGCCAGAAAAUAAGAAUCUUAAAGCCGAUCAAAUCAAGAUUAAUCACCUAUUAAAACGCUAACAAAUAGUAUAGUACAGGUGGUGUAACACGCUGUCUCCCUUCAUAUAUUGUUACAAAACAAACUCUUUGGCGGCAACAUGAAAUAUCCUGCAUCUUCCAUCUCGCUCUCGGUGGGAAAAAGGGGAAAAAAAAUGGCUACUCGGUCCUUCGCAGUGUGGAUUUUGGCAUUUCAUUAGGAAGUGCUAUCACAAACCUUUUCGCUGAAAAGCAUAUGCAACUCUCUGGAAACUGCUAAAUUUCCUGGCUUUGUACUCCUGCCAAAAAGCUGUUGCUUCUCCCUGCCAUUAACAACUGCACUUUGAUUCCUUUCUAUCUUUGCAGAGAGUAAAACCCACGCAGCACUCCCCUGAAAAGGAAAACAGUAGUUUGCUUCCUCCCCCUCCCUAGCUUUGCAGGAAUUAAUCCCAAGGGCUCAAUGUCAUCUUUAUAAUCAGCUUUAAUUUUUAUAGUUUCAGUGGUGGACCAAGUGGUACCAGAAAUGCUACAGUCCUGAUGGGGUUGCUUCCUUGAAGUGGUUUCUCAUAUUUGAGGGGGACUCAAUGAUGACAUGUUGUCAGUGAUCCUUUGAUGAGCGAGUAGAAGUGCUGGCCACGUUGGUGCCCAGUGAAUAGUCAGUUGGCAAGUGAGGAUCUAGGACACGCCAGGUGUUCUAGGCUUCAGGGACCCUGGAGAACAAGGCAGUUCCUACCCAUGUAAUGAUAGCAUUUUCCUUUGCUCAUAUCUUUGGUUAUAAAUGUUCUUUAUUGGAAUCAAACUCACACAGACUAAACCACAUCAGCAGGCUGAUGUCUUUCUCUAGUUUGUCACUUGAGUACCAAGUUCUUUAAGUACCUGUGCCCUGCCUGCGUGGUAUUUCAAAGCUCUUUGUUUGGGGCCUUGGGCUCCCUUCUGCAUCCUAAAGCCAUCCCAGCAACGGGCCGUUCUUUUUCUGAGACCCUGGACCAUCUCGCUACGAAGGGUGUAACAAGCUUCGUUUGUUUUUGCAAAAUCAACUCUUCAGCCGUGACAUGAAAUAUCCUGUCUCCUCUUUCUCACUCACUGUGGGAAA
Molecule: non-coding RNA, 3010 nt
Organism: Sus scrofa (pig)
Lineage: Eukaryota; Metazoa; Chordata; Mammalia; Artiodactyla; Suidae
Source: RefSeq, a predicted model, not a curated record